UACGUAGGGUGCAAGCGUUGUCCGGACUUAUUGGGCGUAAAGAGCUCGUAGGCGGUUUGUCGCGUCUGCUGUGAAAACUCGGGGCUUAACUCCGGGCCUGCAGUGGGUACGGGCAGACUAGAGUGCGGUAGGGGAGACUGGAAUUCCUGGUGUAGCGGUGAAAUGCGCAGAUAUCAGGAGGAACACCGGUGGCGAAGGCGGGUCUCUGGGCCGUAACUGACGCUGAGGAGCGAAAGCGUGGGGAGCGAACAGG
Molecule: ribosomal RNA, 253 nt
Filed under: uncultured bacterium
Lineage: Bacteria
Description: partial 16S ribosomal RNA
Rfam family: Bacterial small subunit ribosomal RNA
Source: RNAcentral